AUGUCAACUAGUUGUUGGGGAUUCAUUUCCUUAGUAACGUAGCUAACGCGUGAAGUUGACCGCCUGGGGAGUACGGUCGCAAGAUUAAAACUCAAAGGAAUUGACGGGGACCCGCACAAGCGGUGGAUGAUGUGGAUUAAUUCGAUGCAACGCGAAAAACCUUACCUACCCUUGACAUGGUCGGAAUCCUGCUGAGAGGCGGGAGUGCUCGAAAGAGAACCGGCGCACAGGUGCUGCAUGGCUGUCGUCAGCUCGUGUCGUGAGAUGUUGGGUUAAGUCCCGCAACGAGCGCAACCCUUGUCCUUAGUUGCUACGCAAGAGCACUCUAAGGAGACUGCCGGUGACAAACCGGAGGAAGGUGGGGAUGACGUCAAGUCCUCAUGGCCCUUAUGGGUAGGGCUUCACACGUCAUACAAUGGUCGGAACAGAGGGUUGCCAACCCGCGAGGGGGAGCUAAUUCCAGAAAACCGAUCGUAGUCCGGAUUGCACUCUGCAACUCGAGUGCAUGA
Molecule: ribosomal RNA, 509 nt
Filed under: Burkholderia ambifaria
Lineage: Bacteria; Pseudomonadati; Pseudomonadota; Betaproteobacteria; Burkholderiales; Burkholderiaceae
Description: bacterial SSU rRNA
Rfam family: Bacterial small subunit ribosomal RNA
Source: RNAcentral